Molecule: ribosomal RNA, 1372 nt
Filed under: uncultured bacterium
Lineage: Bacteria
Description: bacterial SSU rRNA
Rfam family: Bacterial small subunit ribosomal RNA
Source: RNAcentral
GAUGAACGCUGGCGGCGUGCCUAAUACAUGCAAGUCGAGCGAACGGACGAGAAGCUUGCUUCUCUGAUGUUAGCGGCGGACGGGUGAGUAACACGUGGAUAACCUACCUAUAAGACUGGGAUAACUUCGGGAAACCGGAGCUAAUACCGGAUAAUAUUUUGAACCGCAUGGUUCAAAAGUGAAAGACGGUCUUGCUGUCACUUAUAGAUGGAUCCGCGCUGCAUUAGCUAGUUGGUAAGGUAACGGCUUACCAAGGCAACGAUGCAUAGCCGACCUGAGAGGGUGAUCGGCCACACUGGAACUGAGACACGGUCCAGACUCCUACGGGAGGCAGCAGUAGGGAAUCUUCCGCAAUGGGCGAAAGCCUGACGGAGCAACGCCGCGUGAGUGAUGAAGGUCUUCGGAUCGUAAAACUCUGUUAUUAGGGAAGAACAUAUGUGUAAGUAACUGUGCACAUCUUGACGGUACCUAAUCAGAAAGCCACGGCUAACUACGUGCCUGCAGCCGCGGUAAUACGUAGGUGGCAAGCGUUAUCCGGAAUUAUUGGGCGUAAAGCGCGCGUAGGCGGUUUUUUAAGUCUGAUGUGAAAGCCCACGGCUCAACCGUGGAGGGUCAUUGGAAACUGGAAAACUUGAGUGCAGAAGAGGAAAGUGGAAUUCCAUGUGUAGCGGUGAAAUGCGCAGAGAUAUGGAGGAACACCAGUGGCGAAGGCGACUUUCUGGUCUGUAACUGACGCUGAUGUGCGAAAGCGUGGGGAUCAAACAGGAUUAGAUACCCUGGUAGUCCACGCCGUAAACGAUGAGUGCUAAGUGUUAGGGGGUUUCCGCCCCUUAGUGCUGCAGCUAACGCAUUAAGCACUCCGCCUGGGGAGUACGACCGCAAGGUUGAAACUCAAAGGAAUUGACGGGGACCCGCACAAGCGGUGGAGCAUGUGGUUUAAUUCGAAGCAACGCGAAGAACCUUACCAAAUCUUGACAUCCUUUGACAACUCUAGAGAUAGAGCCUUCCCCUUCGGGGGACAAAGUGACAGGUGGUGCAUGGUUGUCGUCAGCUCGUGUCGUGAGAUGUUGGGUUAAGUCCCGCAACGAGCGCAACCCUUAAGCUUAGUUGCCAUCAUUAAGUUGGGCACUCUAAGUUGACUGCCGGUGACAAACCGGAGGAAGGUGGGGAUGACGUCAAAUCAUCAUGCCCCUUAUGAUUUGGGCUACACACGUGCUACAAUGGACAAUACAAAGGGCAGCGAAACCGCGAGGUCAAGCAAAUCCCAUAAAGUUGUUCUCAGUUCGGAUUGUAGUCUGCAACUCGACUACAUGAAGCUGGAAUCGCUAGUAAUCGUAGAUCAGCAUGCUACGGUGAAUACGUUCCCGGGUCU